UCGAUUAGAGUUUGAUUAUGGCUCANNUUGAACGCUGGCGGCAUGCCUUACACAUGCAAGUCGAGCGGCAGCGCGGGGGCAACCCUGGCGGCGAGCGGCGAACGGGUGAGUAAUACAUCGGAACGUGUCCUGUAGCGGGGGAUAACCUGUCGAAAGAUAGGCUAAUACCGCAUACGACCUACGGGUGAAAGCGGGGGACCGCAAGGCCUCGCACUAUAGGAGCGGCCGAUGUCGGAUUAGCUAGUUGGCGGGGUAAAAGCCCACCAAGGCAACGAUCCGUAGCUGGUCUGAGAGGACGAUCAGCCACACUGGAACUGAGACACGGUCCAGACUCCUACGGGAGGCAGCAGUGGGGAAUUUUGGACAAUGGGGGCAACCCUGAUCCAGCCAUGCCGCGUGAGUGAAGAAGGCCUUCGGGUUGUAAAGCUCUUUCGGCGGGGACGAAACGGUCCGUGACAACACCACGGACUGAUGACAGUACUCGCAGAAGAAGCACCGGCUAACUACGUGCCAGCAGCCGCGGUAAUACGUAGGGUGCAAGCGUUAAUCGGAAUUACUGGGCGUAAAGCGUGCGCAGGCGGUCUUGCAAGACAGAUGUGAAAUCCCCGGGCUCAACCUGGGAACUGCAUUUGUGACUGCAAGGCUAGAGUGCGGCAGAGGGGGAUGGAAUUCCGCGUGUAGCAGUGAAAUGCGUAGAUAUGCGGAGGAACACCGAUGGCGAAGG
RNAcentral lists this ribosomal RNA (724 nucleotides) under uncultured bacterium. RNAcentral describes it as "bacterial SSU rRNA". It matches the Rfam family "Bacterial small subunit ribosomal RNA", at positions 1 to 721 of the family's 1533-position model. The record is from RNAcentral.